RNAcentral lists this ribosomal RNA (220 nucleotides) under uncultured bacterium. RNAcentral's name for it is "partial 16S ribosomal RNA". It matches the Rfam family "Bacterial small subunit ribosomal RNA", at positions 114 to 334 of the family's 1533-position model. The record is from RNAcentral.
CGCGUGGGGAACCUGCCCUAUACAGGGGGAUAACAGCUGGAAACGGUUGCUAAUACCGCAUAAGCGCACAGAAUCGCAUGAUUCAGCGUGAAAAGCCCUGGCAGUAUAGGAUGGUCCCGCGUCUGAUUAGCUGGUUGGUGAGGUAACGGCUCACCAAGGCGACGAUCAGUAGCCGGCUUGAGAGAGUGAAUGGCCACAUUGGGACUGAGACACGGCCCAA